Molecule: ribosomal RNA, 253 nt
Filed under: uncultured bacterium
Lineage: Bacteria
Description: partial 16S ribosomal RNA
Rfam family: Bacterial small subunit ribosomal RNA
Source: RNAcentral
UACGUAGGGUGCGAGCGUUACUCGGAAUUACUGGGCGUAAAGCGUGCGUAGGCGGCUCUUUAAGACAGGUGUGAAAGCCCCGAGCUUAACUUGGGAAUUGCGCUUGUGACUGGCGUGCUGGAGUGUGGCAGAGGGAGGUGGAAUUCCACGUGUAGCAGUGAAAUGCGUAGAGAUGUGGAGGAACACUGAUGGCGAAGGCAGCCUCCUGGGCCAGCACUGACGCUCAUGCACGAAAGCGUGGGGAGCAAACAGG